UGGGGAAUUUUGGACAAUGGACGCAAGUCUGAUCCAGCCAUGCCGCGUGCGGGAAGAAGGCCUUCGGGUUGUAAACCGCUUUUGUCAGGGAAGAAACGAGUUUCUCUAAUACAGAGACUUAAUGACGGUACCUGAAGAAUAAGCACCGGCUAACUACGUGCCAGCAGCCGCGGUAAUAUGUAGGGUGCAAGCGUUAAUCGGAAUUACUGGGCGUAAAGCGUGCGCAGGCGGUUAUAUAAGACAGAUGUGAAAUCCCCGGGCUCAACCUGGGAACUGCAUUUGUGACUGCAUAGCUGGAGUGUGGCAGAGGGGGAUGGAAUUCCGCGUGUAGCAGUGAAAUGCGUAGAUAUGCGGAGGAACACCGAUGGCGAAGGCAAUCCCCUGGACCUGUACUGACGCUCAUGCACGAAAGCGUGGGGAGCAAACA
RNAcentral lists this ribosomal RNA (427 nucleotides) under uncultured bacterium. RNAcentral describes it as "bacterial SSU rRNA". It matches the Rfam family "Bacterial small subunit ribosomal RNA", at positions 355 to 774 of the family's 1533-position model. The record is from RNAcentral.